CAACGUGUCGCGAUGGAUGACUCG
Molecule: ribosomal RNA, 24 nt
Filed under: Trypanosoma theileri
Lineage: Eukaryota; Euglenozoa; Kinetoplastea; Trypanosomatida; Trypanosomatidae
Description: partial 5.8S ribosomal RNA
Source: RNAcentral